RNAcentral lists this long non-coding RNA (319 nucleotides) under Trifolium pratense (red clover). Its description in RNAcentral is "long non-coding RNA (TPRA_LNC000840)". The record is from RNAcentral. Lineage: Eukaryota; Viridiplantae; Streptophyta; Magnoliopsida; Fabales; Fabaceae.
ACAAAAAAUAUAAAGACUGGCACAUAUGACAAAAUUAUUACACACAUAAUAACUUGAAAUAUCAAUCUCACCCCCAACCAAUAUUAUUCUAAGGCCACAUUUAUUCUACCAACCUAACAAGCCCUAUCCCACACACAACACAACAUUUUUUUUGAACAAACACACAACACAACAUUGCUUCAAAAGUUCGGACCAGCAGCGAGAAUUUCUUCGGUGAGGUUGUCAUUACCCGUUCCAAUUUUGUAGUUGGUGAAGGUUUCAAAAUUCUUCUUGAACAAUCCAGCCAGCUUCAACAAUGUCUCAUUGUAGGAAUAUUUGU